GAUGAACGCUGGCGGCGUGCCUAAUACAUGCAAGUCGAGCGAACGGACGAGAAGCUUGCUUCUCUGAUGUUAGCGGCGGACGGGUGAGUAACACGUGGAUAACCUACCUAUAAGACUGGGAUAACUUCGGGAAACCGUAGCUAAUACCGGAUAAUAUUUUGAACCGCAUGGUUCAAAAGUGAAAGACGGUCUUGCUGUCACUUAUAGAUGGAUCCGCGCUGCAUUAGCUAGUUGGUAAGGUAACGGCUUACUAAGGCAACGAUGCAUAGCCGACCUGAGAGGGUGAUCGGCCACACUGGAACUGAGACACGGUCCAGACUCCUACGGGAGGCAGCAGUAGGGAAUCUUCCGCAAUGGGCGAAAGCCUGACGGAGCAACGCCGCGUGAGUGAUGAAGGUCUUCGGAUCGUAAAACUCUGUUAUUAGGGAAGAACAUAUGUGUAAGUAACUGUGCACAUCUUGACGGUACCUAAUCAGAAAGGCACGGCUAACUACGUG
Molecule: ribosomal RNA, 497 nt
Filed under: uncultured bacterium
Lineage: Bacteria
Description: partial 16S ribosomal RNA
Rfam family: Bacterial small subunit ribosomal RNA
Source: RNAcentral